This 254-nucleotide ribosomal RNA is filed under the name uncultured bacterium. Its description in RNAcentral is "partial 16S ribosomal RNA". It matches the Rfam family "Bacterial small subunit ribosomal RNA", at positions 524 to 776 of the family's 1533-position model. The record is from RNAcentral.
UACGGGGGGAGCAAACGUUGUUCGGAUUUACUGGGCGUAAAGGGCGCGUAGGCGGCCACCGCAAGUCGGUUGUGAAAUCUCUGGGCUUAACCCAGAAAGGUCAACCGAUACUGCGGGGCUAGAGUGCAGAAGGGGCAACUGGAAUUCUCGGUGUAGCGGUGAAAUGCGUAGAUAUCGAGAGGAACACCUGCGGCGAAGGCGGGUUGCUGGGCUGACACUGACGCUGAUGCGCGAAAGCCAGGGGAGCGAACGGG